This 85-nucleotide transfer RNA is filed under the name Magnetospirillum aberrantis SpK. RNAcentral describes it as "tRNA-Leu". It matches the Rfam family "tRNA". From Rfam's summary of the family: Transfer RNA (tRNA) molecules are approximately 80 nucleotides in length. Their secondary structure includes four short double-helical elements and three loops (D, anti-codon, and T loops). The record is from RNAcentral. Lineage: Bacteria; Pseudomonadati; Pseudomonadota; Alphaproteobacteria; Rhodospirillales; Rhodospirillaceae.
GCCGUGGUGGCGAAAUUGGUAUACGCAGUGGACUUAAAAUUCACCUCCUUAUGGAUUGCGGGUUCGAGUCCCGCCCACGGCACCA